UUUACAAAAAAUGCACUCCAUAUUAUGUUGGUUCUAAAAUUUUUACCUAUUGUUGCCAUUUAAUCAUACUUUCAUUAUCUUGGGUAUGGAUUCUUCUACUCCAAUGUUCAUAUUUAAACUAUGUAUGACGUAACAUAUAUGGUAAUAGUUUUUCUUUUUCUUCAUGUGGUUGUUGUUGCUUACAUUCUGCUCCAAGUACUUGAUAAUUUUUCUUCCUUUAUUGAUUGACAUAAUGGAACCAUGUGUUCAUUGAGAGUUCCGUUUGUGUAACAUUCAAACUAUUUUUAAAACUAUAAGUCAGUCACAUGAUGCAUUAAUUCAUCAACAACGAAAUCAAAGACGAAGAGAUUGACGACAUCAAGCUGAAACUGGAUUCAUUAAUCAUCAUAAAAGAGUAAUUUAGCCUAUGUUAUCUACAAAUAAUAACUCUCACGUUGUCCAUGUACACGAACCUAUAGCAUACCAUCAUUCUAAGCCUUCCAUUUCUAACAAUGAAGCAAUGAACAUAUGCAAUACUGAAUUACAAGAAAGUUCUAAUCAAUUAAAUGUACCAUGUAUGCAUUACUGACAUGCACAUAUUGUAAUGAUUGUGGUUCAAAAAAAAUUCUAUAGAGAAAGUAAAGGUUUCUGUUGUUCUGAUGGGAAAGUUUAACUCAAUGUGUUUGAUCUACCAACCAACUAUACAAUCUAUUUACUUCUAAAGAAUCUGCAUGUACGGAAUUCAAAAAAAUUGUCUGGGGAUAUAAUAAUCAAUUUGCAUUCACUUCAUUUGGGGUAAAGUAUGACAAAGAACUGUUUAAAUCAUACAGAGGUAUCUACACAUUUAGGGUUCAAGGUCAAGUAUAUCAUUACGUAAAUCCACCUAUGCCAGAAAAUAAUACGCCUUCUUAUAUGCACUUAUAUUUUUAUGACACAGGUAACAAAGUUAAGAAUCGUAUGAAAAUUUCGAAGAAUUUUGUUCAAUCUUUUUGAUUAGUUUAAUUGAAAUCCUUAAAUUAAAACCGUAUAGUAGAUUCUUUAGGUCUUUAAGUAAUAUAACGAAUUUGCAUGAUCAUCGAAUACAAAUAAGAUGUGAUCUGGGACUUGAUCAAAGAGUUUUCAAUGCUCCUAUGACGUCUCAAGUUGUUGUUGUAUGAGUCGAAGACGAUGAAAAUGCAAAUGUUCGUGAGACAUUACUAUUUAUAGCCAUUUUGGUGAUUCACAUAAGGUUCAUUACUACUGAGGUUGUUAUGAUCCUUUACGAUAUCCUUUACUUUUUUCAUAUGGAGAAUCUGGUUGGCAUUAAGGCAUUAAGAGAUGCAACAACAAAUAUUUUCAGUCUCAACAUGUGUCUGAUGUAGAUGGUUUUCCUAGUACAGUAACUUUCGCUUUUGAAAUUAUUGAAAAAGAGAAUAAAGGUUUAUGCAUAUAUUUUUUUUAUAGUUCAAAUUUCUACAAUGUAAAUUAAUAAAUGAGUAUAUAAUUUUGACCUUUUUCGUCAUGCAGUGCUUAAUGGAACGAAAAAACGGUCUCAGGUCUCUUGUUGAGAAUACUAUUCAUACAAAUUCCAAAUUAGGCUAUCUGGUAAGUCUUAUUACUGCACACUUGUAGAUUAUUUCAACAUUUUGUUGUGGAUAUGUAUGUUAAGAUUGAAAUUGCUAGGUUAGACUAUUUUCCGAAUAACUAAAAAAAAUCCAUGUUGAACUAUAUCAAGGUAUUGUAACUAGUGUUGAAAAUGGGGAAAUGAGAGGGUACAAAAUUGGAAGAAAAUUUUUCCUACCACAAUCAUUUACAUGUGGGCUUAGAAACUUGCUAAGAAGAUACAUGGAUGUGAUGUCUAUUGUGUAGCAUUAUAGAAAAUAAGACAAUUUUUUUACUAGGACAUGUAAUCCAAAUUGCUUAGAGUUUACGCAGGAACUAAAGCAUAAUGAUGAAGUUCAAAAUCGAUUAAAUCUAAUUGCACGUAUAUUUUAAGCAAACUUAGAAGAGUUAAGAAAUUAUUUAUACAAAAAAAAAUAAAUCUUAGGCCCUGUUGUUGCACAUGAAUAUACGAUUGAAUUUAAAAAACGGGGCUCCUUCAUGUGCAUCUAUUAUUGAUUUUCAAAUCUGGCCAUAAAAUUUGUUGUGUUGAACAGGUCAACACGAUAGUAUGUUCUAAAAUUCCUGACAAAAAUAUAUACCCUUAUCUUUAUUUUGUUAUUGUUAAACAUAAUAUGCAUGUCCUUGUGGAAACCUUAAUCCUAAAAGUGUAUACAUGGAAGAAAUUAAAGGUUGUAAAAAUAAAUACCCUAGGGAUUAUUGCAAUAUAACUACAUUUGGUGAUAACUCAUAUCCGUUAUAUAAGCGUAGCAAUAAUGACAUCUCUGUUAAAAUUAGAGGUCAAAUGUUGGACAAUCGCUAGAUUGUACCAUAUAAACCUUAUUUAAUUGCGAAAUUUGAUUGUCAUAUUAAUGUUGAAGUAUGCUCUUCUAUUAAAGUUGUAAAAUAUUUGUACAAAUAUGUAUACAAAUGAUAUGAUCGUAUUAAUUUCAUAAUUGGCAUAAAUGAAGUAGAGAAAGAAAUUGAUGAAAUUUCAGCUUAUCAAUUUGCUAGAUAGAUAUCUCCACUUGAAGCUAUGUGGAGAAUUUUUCUUUCAAUUUGUUAGAAAGUUGUCCUACUUUUUAUUCUUUACGGCCUCAUAUUGAAAAUCACCAAUAAGUUACAUAUAAUAGUUAUGAUAAUUUAUCUACUAUCAUUGAGAACGAAAAUACGAAGAGAACAAUGUUGAUAGAAAUCUUUCGAAUGAAUCAAACAAGUGAAUUUACUCGAACAUUGUUGUAUCGAGAUUUUCCUACACAUUUUGUUCGGAAUACUAAUAUAAAAAUUUGGACUCCGAAAAAGAAGCAAAUUGUUAUAGGAUGAAUUGUCACAGCAAAUCCUUUUGAAGGAGAAUGCUAUUUUCUCUGCAUUCUUCUUAAUCAUAUUCAAGGACCAACAUCAUUUCUUGAUUUACGAACUUUAAAUGGGGUAACUAUUACAACUUAUAUAAAGGCUAUACUUCUACAUGGUUUAUUAAGCGGAGAUAAUCAUUGUAAAGAAUGUUUAUUUGAAGAUAUUGUUUACAAAAUGCCAACUUCUUUAAAAUGACUAUUUGCUAUACUACUUACGCUUUGCAACCCUAAUCAUCCAAAAUUACUAUAAGAUAAAUUUAAUGCUUAUAUGACAGAUGAUUAUCUACAUGAAAAUAUACCUACAGAAUUGCUAAAGUACAUGCUCUACAGGAUAUUGGUGGUCUUCUAAAAUCAUUGGGUAAAAUCAUAAAUGAUUAUGAAAUAGUUCCAUUCAGUGUAAAUAUAGAUGAGAACGAAAGGUUGAGAAGAAUGGUUAUAGAUGAGAUGAUCAAUUUGGAUAUCAAAGGAGAUUAUGCUUGUGCAGCGAGUUUAAAUAAAGAAUUACAGUUUGCAUAUGAUGCGAUUAUGGAAAAAGUUAAAUUAGAAUCAAGUGGUGCUUUCUUUAUUGAUGGUCUAGGUAAAAUAUUUUUAUAUAAAGCAUUUCUUACUGCUGUGGGAUUUCAAAAUUUGAUUGCUUUAGAAACUGCACUUCUGGAGUAUCUGCAUCUCUAUUACCUGGAGGUUGAACAACUCAUUCUAGAUUUAAAAUUUCUUUAGAUACAUAUGGUGAAGUAAAUUACUUUGUUAGCAAGCAAUUUGCUUUAGGAACAUUACUCAGAAUGUGUAAGUUAAUAGUUUGGGAUGAAGUACCCACGGUGGAUCGUUCUUCUAUUGAAGCUGUAGAUAAAAUGUCGAGAGAUAUUACCGAUUGCAAUUUGCCUUUCGGUGGCAAAGUGGUUAUUCUCGGAGGAGAUUUUCGACAAGUUUUACCAAUUGUGUCGAGAGGGAAAAAAAAAAGAUAUAAUGAAAGCUAGCUUAGCCUUUUCUGACAUAUGACCUUUGUUUAUACAUCUACCAUUGAUUGAGAAUAUGAGGGUUAAAUUGGAUCCCACAUUUUGUGAUUAUUUACUUAGAAUUGGAGAUAGAACAAAAGAAGAUACUUGUAACUACAUCAAGCUUCCAGAGAAUAUCACUUUACGAUUUGAGGACAAAAUUCAGUCUCUAAAAAAUUGAUAAAUUAUUAUUUCCCAAAUAUUGAAGUGUGUGAUGGCAAAUCGAGUUAUUUUUAUGCCCACAAAUGAAUGUGUUGAUCAUAUUAACAGAAUUUUACUCGAACAAAUUCUAGGUCUAAUUUUCACAUAUUUUAGCUUCGACGAAACACUUGAGAAAUGAUAAUAGAGCUUGCCAAGAAGAUUUUUUGAAUAGUUUGACCCCAUAUAGUAUUCCACCUAAUGAAUUGAAUAUUAAGGUAAAUUUUCCUACAAUGUUAUUGAGAAAUAUUAAUCAUUUUGAAGGCUUAUGCAAUAGGGCACGCCUUACUUAUCGAGAAUUUGAGAAGAAUGUAAUUCUGCUGAAAUCACAACCGGUGAAUAUUGUAAAAAAUAUAUUUUCUUAUUGGGAUUCCUUUUAUACCUCUUAAGACAGAUCGAAACUCAAUUCCAUUUAAAAAAACUCAAUUUUCAAUUAGACCAUACUUUACAAUGGCAAUAAAAAAAAUUAUAGGGCCAAACAGUUGAUUUUGUUGGUUUGUAUUUUCCAGAACCCCUUUUUUUCAUGGUCAACUUUAUGUAACAUUAUCAUGAGCUAGAACAAGUACAAAGAUAAAAGUUUUGGUGAAACCAUCAACUACUGAAAACUUACACAAUACAUGUACUAAGAAUGUUGUCUACAAGGAAAUCCUUUCUUUCAUACAUUCGUAGAGUUAUAACUUGGCUUCCUUGUUCAUUAUUGAAAAACUUCAUGAAUUUGUGCAAUUAAAGUCAUCGAUGAAGCUAUCAAAUUUGCAUGGAAUAACUUACAAACAAUUGGAAAAAAAGAUGAAAGUGUUAUCAGAGAAGCUCAUGAGUUUUUCCAAACACAAUUCUUCAACGAUCAAUGGCCAAUUCAUCACCUGGAGAAAAAGAGUUGAAGAUAGUUGGUCGAACAUUGAAAUGAAUAGUUUCAAGAUGGCCCCGGUUAUUGCAAAUAUGGGUAGAGCAAGUAUUCCUCUCUGUCGGACAAUCAUACACAUUUUUGGUUGAAUUCUGGAUCUGUUUGCUGCUGACCUUAUUCGGUUACAUUCCUGGAAUAAUCUAUGCUAUUUAUGCCAUCACCAAAAAUUGAUGAAUCCAUGGUAAGUUGAGGACAAUGGCGAUGAGCUUGAUGUUGUUACAAUGAUGUUAGUCCUAUUCGUAAUUUCUUUGUAUUUAUGUAGAAUUUACUUUAUCACCCUAAAUUGUGUCAUGAGGUGAUUUAUUAUAUUGUCUUUGUUUGGUUCAUUUUGUAACUUUGGAAGUAUUACAUUUCUUUUAUGUCGUUUGAUUAUGGUAUAUUUGUCUUGUUUCUUUA
RNA transcript from Olea europaea var. sylvestris, 5396 nucleotides. It is a transcript of the gene named hydrophobic protein LTI6B-like, with no coding region annotated. The record is from RefSeq and is a predicted model, not a curated record. The transcript has 5 exons. Lineage: Eukaryota; Viridiplantae; Streptophyta; Magnoliopsida; Lamiales; Oleaceae.